UUGCUCGCUUUGACAGCAUGUAUACUAAAAGUGGAAGAAUAUAGAGGAGAUUAGCAUGGCAUCUGCAUAAGGAUGACAUGCAAAUUCCAUAUUCUCAAUUAGA
RNAcentral lists this small nuclear RNA (103 nucleotides) under Sciurus vulgaris (Eurasian red squirrel). The record is from RNAcentral. Lineage: Eukaryota; Metazoa; Chordata; Mammalia; Rodentia; Sciuridae.